This is a long non-coding RNA of Oncorhynchus masou masou (cherry salmon), 374 nucleotides long. RefSeq lists it as uncharacterized. The record is from RefSeq and is a predicted model, not a curated record. The transcript has 3 exons. NCBI's taxonomy places the organism in Eukaryota, Metazoa, Chordata, Actinopteri, Salmoniformes, Salmonidae.
AUAUUUAUUUAGGACAAAAUGACUGUUUCCCCUUCUGAUUUGUGAUGGGUUGUGACUACUGUAGUAGUUAAUGACUAACUGACCCGCUCCACCACUCACACCCAUUGGUCACUAGUCCAUACAGACAGACAGAGAGGGGUAUUUGACCGGUGUGUGUUCUCAAGGUUGGAAGACAUGACAGUGUUCAGGAGCAGCGUUCCGGUACAGUAAGUUCAGCUGACAAGUUCAGCCAACAGAAACGCGCUGCUCAAACAGACUUUCCAACACAACACUAGAACUCUUCUAAGUCAAGCUGUGUGUCAGUCAGCUGUGUGUCAGUCCGCUGUGUGUCAGUCAGCUGUGUGUCAGUCCAUUGUGUGUCAGUCAGCUGCAGG